UGCUCUUAUACAUUAAGAUCUUAAUGUUGUGCUCCUUCUUUGCACCUUGAUGCGUUGUCUAUUUCAUACUUAGAAAUAGCUUACAAAUAGUACUUUGAUAAAUCUCAAAUUAUAUCGAAAAUUGUUUGUUCAGCUUUCAUGUCUUUAUAAAGUUCAUUGUUAAUAAUAUGAACUUAAAAUGAUUUUAUUUUCCACAAAUAUUUCAUUUCAUUUUCUUAUUAUUCUUAUUUUGAAAAUAAUGUCCUUGUGUCCAAUUUGUCGUGCUAAUGGAUGACUUUAGUACUUGACAAUGCGUGACUUAUAUGUGACUAUGAUGCAUGACCAAUGCAUAUGCGACCUCAGUGAUUGACAACUUGGACACAAGAAUCAAGUUCCAAAAUAACAUAAUUCUCAAAAAAAUUCAAAUUUCAAAAUGCUCCUCUAAAAUAUCAUCAAAUUCUUUUUACCUUUAUUAAACUGGUUUAUUAUAGUAUACUGAAACUAAAGUCCGAAUUGCUAAAAAAUAUUUUCAAUUUGUAAAUUUUAAUACAUUCAAAACCUCGAUCACCAGAAACUUAUUUGUCAUGUACAAAUAAAAGAAAUUAACAAAAAACAAUCAAGAAUUGUGUACUUACCGAGUCGCUUAACUGGUUAUUAUGAACCUAGCCUCCUAGUACAAAACCACUAUUUUCAUACUGGACGCACUUCUAGCAAAUACUAAAACAAACAUUAUCACAUUAUUUCAAAUCAUAUAAUUCAACAACCAAUACAUCUUAACAAUACUCAUGGCAACAUAGUCAUAGUAGUAAGAAUAAUAACAAUAAUAAUUAUUAUGAAUUCAAUAAUAAAAAUCAUAUAUUAAGGUAAGUUAAGCGUCAACUUACAAACUUAUUGUUCCUCAAGUUGCAUAGCUUUCAAAACUCUUAUGGAGUGAGUUGGAUGAAAUCUAAAUAAAUAGAAAGCAAAAUUAGUAUGUGCUUUUAUACAUUAAGAUCUUGAAGUUGUGCUCCU
This 990-nucleotide long non-coding RNA is filed under the name Ricinus communis (castor bean). RNAcentral's name for it is "long non-coding RNA (RCOM_LNC002718)". Lineage: Eukaryota; Viridiplantae; Streptophyta; Magnoliopsida; Malpighiales; Euphorbiaceae. The record is from RNAcentral.